Myotis lucifugus (little brown bat) is the source of this 100-nucleotide small nuclear RNA. Lineage: Eukaryota; Metazoa; Chordata; Mammalia; Chiroptera; Vespertilionidae. The record is from Ensembl.
GUGCUCCUUCAGCAGCACAUAUACCAAAAUCCAAACACAGAGAUUAGCAUGGUCCCUGCACAAGCAUGACACGCAAAUUCUUGAAGCGUUCCAUAGAUGC